This 750-nucleotide ribosomal RNA is filed under the name Alteromonas sp. JL25. Its description in RNAcentral is "bacterial SSU rRNA". It matches the Rfam family "Bacterial small subunit ribosomal RNA", at positions 39 to 789 of the family's 1533-position model. Lineage: Bacteria; Pseudomonadati; Pseudomonadota; Gammaproteobacteria; Alteromonadales; Alteromonadaceae. The record is from RNAcentral.
GUUGCGCGGCCUACCAUGCAGUCGACGGAAACAUGUCUAGCUUGCUAGAUGAUGUCGAGUGGCGGACGGGUGAGUAAUGCUUGGGAACUUGCCUUUGCGAGGGGGAUAACAGUUGGAAACGACUGCUAAUACCGCAUAAUGUCUACGGACCAAACAGGGCUUCGGCUCUGGCGCAAAGAGAGGCCCAAGUGAGAUUAGCUAGUUGGUGAGGUAAAGGCUCACCAAGGCAACGAUCUCUAGCUGUUCUGAGAGGAAGAUCAGCCACACUGGGACUGAGACACGGCCCAGACUCCUACGGGAGGCAGCAGUGGGGAAUAUUGCACAAUGGGGGAAACCCUGAUGCAGCCAUGCCGCGUGUGUGAAGAAGGCCUUCGGGUUGUAAAGCACUUUCAGUUGUGAGGAAAAGUUAGUAGUUAAUACCUGCUAGCCGUGACGUUAACAACAGAAGAAGCACCGGCUAACUCCGUGCCAGCAGCCGCGGUAAUACGGAGGGUGCGAGCGUUAAUCGGAAUUACUGGGCGUAAAGCGCACGCAGGCGGUUUGUUAAGCUAGAUGUGAAAGCCCCGGGCUCAACCUGGGACGGUCAUUUAGAACUGGCAGACUAGAGUCUUGGAGAGGGGAGUGGAAUUCCAGGUGUAGCGGUGAAAUGCGUAGAUAUCUGGAGGAACAUCAGUGGCGAAGGCGACUCCCUGGCCAAAGACUGACGCUCAUGUGCGAAAGUGUGGGUAGCGAACAGGAUUAGAUACCCUG